This 1737-nucleotide small RNA is filed under the name Pongo abelii (Sumatran orangutan). Its description in RNAcentral is "retained intron". The record is from RNAcentral. Lineage: Eukaryota; Metazoa; Chordata; Mammalia; Primates; Hominidae.
UUGUCCCCCGAGCCGCCGACCGGGCCUCGAACGGGAUGGCAGAGGAGGUGAGGAGGGAGAAGCGUCCGGAGUGGGGCGGGCCCGGACUCCGACCCCCGGGGCGCUUCGAGCCCCCCAGCGGGUCACCGAGGCACCGCCGCUCCACCCAGGCCAGUAGCCGCCCCCUCGCGCACCCCGGCCCCGCCUCACACGCGCGCCCGAGCGAGCCCCGGGCUCCCCUCGGGCCCAGCGCGGCGCAGGGGUCAGUGGUUCUCUCGGGUCUCGGGACAGGUGAGCACCCUGAUGAAGGCCACAGUCCUGAUGCGGCAGCCUGGGCGGGUGCAGGAGAUCGUGGGCGCCCUCCGCAAGGGCGGCGGAGAUCGGUUACAGGUACUUCUGGGGCGUGCGGGGGCCGGCCGGGCUGGGGGCGGCUGGAGAGGCUUCCUGCCCAUUGGGCCUUCCCGCUUUGCUCUGCCGCGGACCCCUCCUAGCUCUCUGCCCCAAGAAAUGGCCGGGAGCUUGAAGGAGAGCGGGUUGGUUUGCCUGUCCUAAAACCCAGAUUUCAGAUUUCUCAAUAUGGUCAUGCUGCUUCCCCUAAUUGGACAGAAGGCGCCCACACCAGUACCUAGGGCCUUAUCCUCCCCAAGCCAGCGGCUCCCCAGUGAUUUCUGAUUUUGACAUGACCUUGAGCAGGUUUGCAUAUAAUGGAAAGCGAUGCCCUUCUUCUUACAAUAUUCUGGAUAAUAGCAAGAUCAUCAGUGAGGAGUGUCGGAAAGAGCUCACAGCACUCCUUCACCACUAUUACCCAAUUGAGAUCGACCCACACCGGACCGUCAAGGAGAAGCUACCUCAUAUGGUGGAAUGGUGGACCAAAGCGCACAAUCUCCUAUGUCAGCAGAAGAUUCAGAAGUUUCAGAUAGCCCAGGUGGUUAGAGAGUCCAAUGCAAUGCUCAGGGAGGGAUACAAGACCUUCUUCAACACACUCUACCAUAACAACAUUCCCCUUUUCAUCUUUUCUGCGGGCAUUGGUGAUAUCCUGGAAGAAAUUAUCAGACAGAUGAAAGUGUUCCACCCCAACAUCCACAUCGUGUCUAACUACAUGGAUUUUAAUGAAGAUGGUUUUCUCCAGGGAUUUAAGGGCCAGCUCAUACACACAUACAACAAGAACAGCUCUGUGUGUGAGAACUCUGGUUACUUCCAGCAACUUGAGGGCAAAACCAAUGUCAUCUUGCUGGGAGACUCCAUCGGGGACCUCACCAUGGCCGAUGGGGUUCCUGGUGUGCAGAACAUUCUCAAGAUUGGCUUCCUGAAUGACAAGGUGGAGGAGCGGCGGGAGCGCUACAUGGACUCCUAUGACAUCGUGCUGGAGAAGGACGAGACUCUGGAUGUGGUCAACGGGCUACUGCAGCACAUCCUGUGCCAGGGGGUCCAGCUGGAGAUGCAAGGCCCCUGAAGGCACAGGCUUCACCCGGCCUGCAGGCCGUGGUGAGGAGGGGGCGCCUCCCCAGAGUGCGCUCCCCCGUGAACACAGAGCAGAGGCCAGGGUGGCCAGCAGUGGCUGGGUCCUUCCAUGCUCCCUCUCCGUCCUCCUUUCCCCGAGCACCUUCAUCACCAGAGGCUUGAAGGAACCCCGCCAUGUGGCAGGGCACAAGCACUGUUCCUGGUGAACCUUGGACCACAGCAUGUCAGUGCUCUAGGGAUUGUCUGUUCCAGGGAUUUUUUUCAAAAUUUUUAAACAUGGGAAGUUGUUCUUCAAAC